Molecule: ribosomal RNA, 258 nt
Filed under: uncultured bacterium
Lineage: Bacteria
Description: partial 16S ribosomal RNA
Rfam family: Bacterial small subunit ribosomal RNA
Source: RNAcentral
UACGUAGGGUCCGAGCGUUGUCCGGAGUUACUGGGCGUAAAGCGCGCGCAGGCGGCUCGUCAAGUCUGGCGUGAAAGCCCCCGGCUCAACCGGGGGAGGGUCGUCGGGAGACUGGCGAGCUUGAGGGCGGUAGGGGCUGGUGGAAUUCCCGGUGUAGUGGUGAAAUGCGUAGAGAUCGGGAGGAACACCCGUGGCGAAGGGCGGCCAGCUGGGCCGUCCCUGACGCUGAGGCGCGAAGGCGUGGGGGAGCGAAACGGG